This 39-nucleotide ribosomal RNA is filed under the name Balsamia magnata. RNAcentral describes it as "partial 5.8S ribosomal RNA". RNAcentral also lists the same sequence under 2 other names. The record is from RNAcentral. Lineage: Eukaryota; Fungi; Ascomycota; Pezizomycetes; Pezizales; Helvellaceae.
ACUUUCAACAACGGAUCUCUUGGUUCUCGCAUCGAUGAA